AGGAUUCGUCCAAGUGAAAUAGAGGACAGUGGCGGACGGGUGAGUAACGCGUGAGGAACCUGCCUUUCAGAGGGGGACAACAGUUGGAAACGACUGCUAAUACCGCAUAAGCGCACAGCUUCGCAUGAAGCAGUGUGAAAAACUCCGGUGGUACAAGAUGGACCCGCGUCUGAUUAGAUAGUUGGUGGGGUAACGGCCUACCAAGUCGACGAUCAGUAGCCGGACUGAGAGGUUGAACGGCCACAUUGGGACUGAGAUACGGUCCAGACUCC
RNAcentral lists this ribosomal RNA (272 nucleotides) under uncultured Eubacteriales bacterium. RNAcentral describes it as "uncultured Clostridiales bacterium partial 16S ribosomal RNA". It matches the Rfam family "Bacterial small subunit ribosomal RNA", at positions 75 to 339 of the family's 1533-position model. Lineage: Bacteria; Bacillati; Bacillota; Clostridia; Eubacteriales. The record is from RNAcentral.